GGGGUUGUGGCUCAGAGGUAGAGCGCUUGCCUACCAUGCAUGGGGCACUGGGUUUGAUCCUCAGCACCA
This 69-nucleotide transfer RNA is filed under the name Ictidomys tridecemlineatus (thirteen-lined ground squirrel). Its description in RNAcentral is "Spermophilus tridecemlineatus (thirteen-lined ground squirrel) tRNA". It matches the Rfam family "tRNA". Rfam says of the family: Transfer RNA (tRNA) molecules are approximately 80 nucleotides in length. Their secondary structure includes four short double-helical elements and three loops (D, anti-codon, and T loops). The record is from Rfam by way of RNAcentral. Lineage: Eukaryota; Metazoa; Chordata; Mammalia; Rodentia; Sciuridae.